UCCUCGUACGCAUCUGGUUGGGGUGUGAGGUUGGUGAGAGUGUGGGCUGUUUGUGUCCUCAUACGCGUCUGGUUGGGGUGUGAGGUUGGUGAGGGUGGGUGGUUUGUGUCCUUGUACGUGUCUGGUGGGGGUGUGAGGUUGGUGACGGUGAGCAGUUUGUGUCUUUGUAUGCGUCUGGUGGGGGUGUGAGGUUGGUGAGGGUGGGCUGUUUGUGUCCUCGUACGUGUCUGGGGUGGGUGUUAGGUUGGUGAGGGUGGACGGUUGGUGUCCUUGUAUGCGUCUGGUGGGGGGUGUGUAGUUGGCAAGGGUGUGGGCAGUUGGUGCCCCUUAAGCACCUGGUAGGCCUGUGAGGUGCUGCAUCUGCUGUGAGUGGCCGGUGAGUCUUAAAGGUUAGGCGGUCACUGGAUGACCCAGCAAUCCCCCUGCUAAGUGUGCACCCAAGAGAAUUAAUAGGGUGUUUGCGUGAACACCCAUGUUUCAUUAUUCAUAGCAGCAUUGCUUGUAGUAGCCAAGAGAUGGGGCCAACCCAAAUGCCCCUCAGCUGUGAAUAGGUAAGGACAUCAUAGGGAUAAACACAUUGUUUCUGCUUUGCCUGGAAUGGUGACCAAUACACAGUGGGUGCUUGAGGUGAGCGUGGAUUUCCAGUUCCAUAAGAGACCUGUGGCUAGUAUGGGAGCUGCAGUCAUGAACAGCGUAGUCAUUGUCAGACUGAGCGAGACUGUCGUUGAAUUCUCGCUCAUCACUGACUGCUGGCCCAGGCCACCUCGUCUGUGAAAGACAUGAUAAUAUCCUAGGCUUGGGUGGUGGUAAACAUUAAACCUGAUGGAGCGUGUUCAAGAAAUGAUGCCAACAACGUAAGGUCAUCAUUUUGCCCAGCAUGUAGCGGGUUUUUACUCGACAAGGCCACAGAGUCGCAGGCCCUUCACCUGGAGGGUUGGGAGCACCCUCCUGCUCCUGUGCUUAGCCCUGUAUUUGUCAUGGCUCCUUCCUUUUUCUCCUCCACGUCCAAGGACGGCUCCACUGGCUUUCAGUGUUAACUGGGGCCUGAUAAUCACGGGGUUCCAGGAGAUGUUCAGAGGUGGAAGGCAAGUUCCGAGUGAGGUUCUCUAAGGCAGAGAUCCAGCUGAUGGUAGAUGACCCAUUGAGUAGUCAUCUGGUGUCCGGCGGCAGUGGCGGCCAUGAUAGCAGCUCAGGAAGUGGGUCUUCUGGGCUGGGGCUCUGCACUGAGCUGGGUUUCCUGCCUGUAAUCUGCUCUCCAGCAGACAGGCCUGCCAGAGCCUGGGACCCCUGCAAGCACAGGCACUGCUCCCUUGUCCCUGGCAUGUCUGCGUGGGCACAGGGCCUUCUCUGGCAUCACCCUGCCUGGGCAGCCCCACUUGCUGGCUCUGCCUCCUGUGCCGUGCUCCACUCCCAACAAGUGAAGGUCACAGCCCUCAGCCUUCCUGGUCUCCUGCUGUCCAUGGCCGUCUCUGUGGCGGGUCCGGCCACGCUUGUGGACCGGCUCCUUCUGUCCCCCCUGGACUUUGAGGAAAUGAAAUCGAUAUUCACAACCACGGCAGUCCUUUCUUUUUCUACACAUACUCAGAAACUUCCACAGUGUUUCCUGAAUUCUUUUGACCCAAAUCAUCCAGAUCCUGUGUAGUGUCCACCACACACCCUGCCGGCACCACUAUAUCAGAAUGCUUUUCAGGUGUCCGGAGAAAGCCACUUGUUAACUGAUGGCAAGAAAUGGAGUGGUGGCAUAGAUGUGAGCAUCCUCCUUCUCUGAGCUGGAUGCAUGUGGAAAACCAGACCUUGCUAGGAUGGGAGGGUGUUUGAUACCCAGCCCCUGACCCCGCUUUCCCAGUGCCUUCCUGCCCACACUCCUCCCCACCCCAGAGUCUGAUCAUGCUGGAGUUACUGGGAGCACCCCGCAGCCAGCUCAAAGGAUACAGACACUGGUUGGCCUGGCAGACACUCACAGUGACCAGUCAGAAGGUCCUGGAGAUGGAACGGGCUCUCCUGCAGUGUCAGGAACAGAUCUGUUUCUUCCCACGUGCUUUUCCUUGAAGAACUGGGAGGAGGAAAUGUUGGUCUUCUUGAUGCACAGCCUGCUGCCGUCAGUGGUGGAGGCCAGGUUUGAACCCAGGUCUCCCAGGUCUUGCUGGCGUCCGUUGCUGCUGCCUCUUCCAUCUCAGCCGCAGGGGAUACCAUGUGGUCUGUUACGUUUGGAGUCUCCUGACAGCCUGUCCUGCGCUGGCCUCCACCCACAGACCCACCUUGCAGGCCUCUCUGCUGAUUCACCUGCCCCAGUGCUGAGAGCCAUGUCCCAAGCCUGGGGGCACUCACCCCACACCUCCUCUCCACAUUGUGUAAGCUGAGAAGUGCUCAGUGAUUCCAACAAGCACUAACCCUGCCUUUUAAAGGUCAUUCCUGUCUUUGUCAGUUCUUAAAGUUCAAGAGGAAAUAAACUGCUUAGAGCUGGCAUUUCUCAAGUCAAGAGUCAGCCCUCCAAGCCCCCCGCCCGGCUCGGAGGAAGCAAGGUUCAUAAAUGAGCUGCCGGAUGACUCAGUGACGGGCGAGUGGGUGCCUCCCUCUCUCCAGCUCCUGCUAGAAAGGAAUGAAAGGGAAACUAAUAAUUCCUAAAAUCUCAUUUUCUCCUUUCAGUUUUGUUAGUCAGCAUGGGGAAUGCUUUGGAGAUGUUUCUUUAUUGGUCAAGUGACAGCAUUUAGAGGCUGUCAGCCCUGGUUACCCAGGAUGUCACGCACAGGGGCUCUUACAUCAUGGGGCCUGUGCCACAUGUUUCUGAUUGAUGGAGCAGGGGAACUCUCCCUACAGUGGAGACAAUGGAGGCCCCAUGAAGGUGCCACACCUAAUAGGUUAUUGACUUCCUGUGCUUUGGGUCGAGGACAGCAAAAUCAAUGUGAAAAUAAACAGGCCAAAUAGGCUUCAUUACCCAGGUAGCGCCGAAGCAGCUGGAGGGGUCAUGUGACACACAGGUGUGGGCGGAGGCUGGGCCCAGUGCUGGUGGCUGGGCUCUGCUUGGCGGGCUCUAUCGAUUGUCAUGGGCACUGGAGCCUCAGCUUCAGAGCUGUUAAUUGGGCUGUUGGGUGAUUCCAAAGAGAGAGGCCACAGAGAUCACUUUGUUUCUUCUCUUAACUGCUUGUCCAAUUUGGUGGUACAAGCCUCAAUUAAACGCGGUGUGCGGACCCCUCGAUCCUCAGAGCUCUGUCUCCUCAGCCUGGUCCUUCCACUUGGCCUGCUGCUCUCUGGAGUGCUGCACUCCCAUGCCAGACCUGCUGGCAGCCAGAGCCCAGCUAUGUGCUCACGGCUCCAAUUCACCGGCCAUGUGGUGCUGAAGUCACGGCUCUAACAGCAGCUCCGUCUGAGCUCCCCAGGACUGGCUCCCUUCCCUCCGUCUCACUUUCUCCCCACUGCACCCUCUCCUUUUCUCCCCCUUCCCUUCUGCGCUCUGUCUCACACAUGGCCCCAUGGUCCCCACUCUCGUUCCCUUCUCUCCCUCCUUAUGGUUUCCCAUGCACACACACCCCUCACACUCACACAUGGCCUCCUGGUCCCCCUGCCCUCCCUCUCCUGCCUCCUUUCCCUUUCUUUCGCAUCUCCUGUACAGGUGUUCCUGGGGGCUUGUUCCUCUGUUCUUUAUUCCUUGGUCUCUGCUUUUCCUUCUUCUGUAAGUUCCUGUGCUUUGACAUCUUUUCUUGUCACUUCAGUUUGGCCAGACUCUCUGAGGCUCUAUCUUUGGCUGCGACCUCUCUCUAAUCUCCGUGAUCAAUUUUCAUCUGCCCCUGGAAGCUGCCACCUUCUGUUAUUGUGCCAGACCUUGGGGCCAUGUCAGAUGUGCCCUGCUCUUUCCCCAGGGGUCCCCGCUAUCUCUGUUGGCCAUUCAACUGAAGGCCCAGUCUCCCCACUUUGACGGCAGAUGUCUCUCCCGUUUUCCCUCCAGCUGGGCCAGGCGGCCUUCCCCCACUAACUUGUGCUCCAGCUUCUCUCCCUCACACUUAGCUCCUGUGCCUCCCCAGCCUGUGCCGUUGCGUUCUGCCGGCCAUGGGGGCUGGAACAGUGAUGUCAGACCCCUGUGCGGGGGACAGAGCCCCUGACAGAUAAGACCUGGGGCCUGCUGGCUUGGUGAGGAAGUGAAGGGGCGCAUGAUAGUGCCCUGGGCCACAGUGGCACGGGGAGUGCCCCCCCCCCGCCUCCUGUGUAGGGUGAUCCGGCCCAAUGUGGGGAUUUUUGGCAGGCCCCUGAGGCCCACAAUCCUUCCACAGGUUGGUUUCCUCCAGCCUGAUAUUUGUCCUGAGGUUUCCUGGGUUGCAUGAUGGUGUUCUGGAAAUUUGAGAAGUGUGGUGGAGUGGGACUGCUAAGUGGAUGCUCUGAUUUUCGUUCCUUUGCUCCUCUGUUUGGGGGAACUUGAUGGACUUUUGCUAGAACCUGUGGUCCAGAUGAGGAAGGUUCAAGGAGCCCAGUGUGGUGACCCUGGCUCCAAGAGGUCCCUCUGCCCACAGGUACCUUUCCAGCACCAGCCCAGAGUCCCCCUGUCCAGCUUGUCUGUCCGUAUCCUCUUUCUGAGGACCCUUCCCAUUGGCUCUGCCACUCUCACCCCGUGGCAUCCCCAGCCCUGUCCUCCGCACCUGGCCUGGCUCAAGGACUGUCGCAGCAGCUCUCUCCUCUCUCCCUGGGCUCAGUCAUCUUCUCACCCUCCAUGAAUGGGGAGCCAGGGGAGAGAGGGGGUAUGGAGUCUGGACCUUGGGUGUCCAGGAGGCAGCUGAGGGUUAGUAAGGCCUCUGUAACGUCGCAAAGUGCAGGCCACGUCCCAGUGGCAUUGCCUGUGAACCAGGUCCCUUGGAAUGCCACUUUCCCUGGCAUCCAUGUCCAUAACCGAGAAGUGAGGUGAAAAUGUCUCCCUCCCUGGAAGGGCGGUUCAGGGUGUGUUUGAAGAAAUGACAGUUCCCCUUGCCCAGCCACACACAUCUUCAGUGGGAAAAUCAGGCUGCGCUUUGAGUGAGCCUCCACACCUCCUCUUUGCAUGGGGCUCUAUGCAGCCAACAGCAGGGCUGCUGUGGGAGCUGGAGGUUUCCAGUGCACAGGGACGGACUUGGCGUCAGAGCCCAGCGCUGCUCUUUGAGUCCUGCUCCCAUUUGGAAGUGAGCGAUCCCAGAAUCCCUGGCUUCUUACCAGAGGCCUUAGAUUGUAGGGGAGGCGCCCUGCACGUGAGGGUCUGUGGAUUUAGUAGGAGGGUUGUUAUUACUGUUUUUGUCGUGGAAUCUGUGCAUCUGCAGUCCCUGAGGCUGGGGGCUGGCAGGAGCUUGCUCUCUUGGUUGGGGAGAAACGCAGUUGCCCGGCCUCAGUUGGGUGUAAAGUCAUGUCUUAGUUACCUGCGCCUCCCCCCACCAGUGUUUCUAAACCUCAUGUCUGUGGUGCAGGGUAGUGGUUGGUAACCUUUCUCUGUAAAGAGAAAUAUUUUUGACUUUUUGAGGCACAGUCUCUGUCACAGGAAAGUAGCUGCAGGCCGUAUGUCAACGAAAGGAUAUGGCUUUGUUCCAGGAAAACUUUGCUUACAAACCUAGGUGGUGGUCUGUUUGCUUAGGGGCAGUGCAGAGAAGUGCCCCGCCUCGAGGCUGGCUGGCCCACCCACCUGCUGCCUGCCUGCUGGCCAUGUCACCCCUUGGGGCUUCUGUUGCCUGCAUUAGGUGGGCAGGGAGCCAGCACUGACUGGGCUGACGAUGCGGAUGGUCUCCUUCUCCCCGACCUCAACAUGGGGAGGCAGUGGAUGUCUCCAGGACGCCUGCUUUGCCUCUCUGCGUCACUCCAGGCACUGGAUUAUCUUCUGUGUCUCCUCUUUUUUCUGAAAGUCAGAGCUGGAGGGCAAAGAACAGUUGUACAAUAAAGCCUGGGGAGGUGACUUGCCCUCUGGUCUCUGCCAUUCUCAUUUCCUAAACUCCAACAGCCUGGGGUAGAGGUGAAUUGAUGGUCUCCCUGCGGCCACCCUUGCCAGAGCUCCCCACCCCUCAUUUGGAGGCAGCCCUACCAAGGCGAUUACAGGUUGGUAACUGAUCAGCUAAAUUGGAUUAUUCAUUAUGGUUGGGAUUGAAUUGAAAUUGCACAGGGCAAUUUUCCUUCUCACAUUUCAAGGUCAGAUGAGAGUAUUUACAGUAUGGCCUCUGUUUAUCUGGGAAUGCAGAUUGAAUUUGGUGAUUCGAAUGGCUGAGAUGUUGGGAACCGGGAGCUCAUCAGAGGUAGUUGGGGCAGAGCGACCAGGAGGCCAGCCUGCAGCUUCAGAGCCUGCUCCCCUGGCCAUUUCUUUGAUUGGUAAUUAUUUCAGCCUUUGCUCUUAUUCUCUGGUUUUGUUUCCACUGUUUGGAUUAUUUUUUUCAGAAAAAUGUGUAAUGACACUUGGAGAUAUUUAAGAUUGGAAUUAGAUGGCAUAAAUAACGACAGCUGCAUGCUAUGCUGAGCCCCACGUCUUGGGGUGCCGGGGAGGAGAGCACUGCUCCCUUUCGGAGACCUGGCCCCUCUGGGUCUGAACCUACUCACUAAGGAAACAAGUGCCCACCUGUGCCAUUGAGUGAAGGCUGCAUGCCCUCGACCUCAUCACGGUGUAGGGGCUGAGUUGGCCCUGUGGGCUUGAACUGGAGGCCUCAGUGAGGCAUGGCACCUCUGAGCCCCUGCUUCUGCAGGGACGUGGGGACUGGGGGCAGCGCUACUGCUUUCCUGCCAGAUUCCUGUAGAGACUAAACGAGGUCACGUACCCAGGAGCACCCCCUGUAGCCAAAAGCUGCUCGGAUGAGAGCAAGAAGCUGCUCAGGAGGCUGGCCUCUGAGUUCAGACAUGAGAGGGACCCUGGCCCAUGGCCUCCUCUGCUUUCUUCUUUAGUCCCAGGUAGAUGAGAAGCAUAAACCCUGAUCUGAAUCUCCAGCAGCUUCUGAUCAGGGAGCCUCUCCUGGCUCACCUUGGAGGCCCCAUGAACGCGGGGCAAGGGGAGAACUGGGACCUGUUGAUGCUCCUGUGCUUUGCAAUGGAUGCACACAUCUGAUGGAAUCCUCCCCGGCCCAUUAGCAGCGAGCGGCACAGUGGCCUCGGUUCCAUCCAAGACAAAGGAGAAGGUCAGAGGUGGAUGGAAGGCUCAGAGCAUCUUGAUAGUAGGGUGCUAUGGCGGCUUUUGUGGGUGGGUGGGACCCUCUGAACCCCCUGGAUCCCAGGGUCACAUUUCCCUGCAUCUCCGCAGAGGCAGGUAUUGAUUUCCCACUCUCAGGAGACUCCUCAGAUACACAGAGGGCCUGUAUCUGCUGUGCUGGCCUCCAGGCCAGAGCUGGAGGCUUUGAUGGCAGAGAUGGCCCACUCUGUGGUGAGUGGGGGCCCUUCCCUGGUAUUCCCUGUUGGCAGGGAGUGGAUGUGGAUGCCAGACCACGUGCAUUGUUGCUUCUGCCCUGUCUGGGAACCCUGGCCUUCCAGCAGAGAAUUUCUGAAACCAGUUGUUCUCCAUCUAAAAUUUUGUCUCUUGAUCCAGGCUGCUGCGAGGUUUCCUGACGGGUGUCUGUGAAUGUGGCUCUGUGUACCGUUCUUGUGACCGGAGGACGAGCACAUGCGGUUUGGGAGGUUGUCCUGGCAAGCGAGAUCCUCUUUUAGAACGUGUGGAUGCUUCCAGAGCAGAGCAGGACAGGCUGUCUGCCGGGACUGGAGCCUGUCCUCUGUUCCCUGCCUGCCUGCUGGGUCCUCACCUCCUGCUCCCAAGUGCCUCCUGCAGAAAGGCACUGCUUUUUGCCUUGUGUGCCUGCUCCCAGCCACCUGCUGGGUCGCACCCUGCCUCCUGACAGCUGGCUCGUCCAAGCUCCUGCACUUGAUUCUCUUCCUGAGAGACACAUGGAGCACGUCAUCUGUGUGGUGGUGGUGUUGCUUGGCCUGACUGGGGCGUCUUCCCCUGGCCCUGUGGGGGUACUCAAGUCAUGACCCUGGAGACCCUGGAGGUCAUGUACAGUGGUGUCGUGGGGAACAUGGUAGUCUCAUGCUCAUGACUCAGUCACUCGAGGCUUGAAUUUACUCAUCUAUAAAAUUGAGAAGAUUAAAAGUCAUACGUGUGGAUGGGUCUUUAUGUUCCUCAGAUAUCUAAAAAUAAAGGUGCUUUUAGGGAUUUUGCCAAGGUUCGAAUAAAGUUUUAUUAAUGUUUUCCUAGUUUCAUGCCAAGUGUCAUCACUGAAGAUCGCUGGGCACACAGCUGUGUUUACAUAUUAAUCCUUAAGGCCAUUAGCAAGCUCACCAUGCUGUAACCGUGUCUUGGGCUCACUAUGCUGUGGGCUCACCGUAUCGUAACCGUGUCUGGGGCUCACUGUGCUUUGGGCUCACCUUGCCGUAACCAUGUUUGGGACUCACUGUGCCAUGGGCUCACCGUGCUGUAACUGUGUCUGGGACUCACUGUGCCAUAACCGUGUCUGGGGCUCACUGUGCCACGGGCUCACUGUACUGUAACUGUGUCUCGGUAUCACUGUGCCGUGGGCUCACUGUGCCAUGGGCUCACCGUCCUGUAACUGUGUCUGGGACUCACUGUGCCACAGGCUCACCAUGCUGUAACUGUGUCUUGGACUCACUGUGCGUAACCGUGUCUGGCGCUCACUGUGCCACCGGCUCACCGUGCUGUAAUCGUGUCUUGGGCCUACUUGGGCCUCGGGCUCACCGUACCAUAACCAUGUCUCGGGCUCACUGUGCUGCGGGCUCACCAUGCUAUAACUGUGUCUCGGGCUUACCGUGCCAUGGUCUUACCAUGCCAUAACUGUGUCUCAGGCUAAUUGUGCCAUGGGCUAACCAUGUCACGGUGAACAGUCAGGGCAGUCAUCAGCAAGGGAGCCUUGGUGUGAUCCCGUGCCCGUGUGUCAACAGUGUGUCUGGGUGUCACAGAUUAGGAGGCCAUCUCUGUUUGGGUUGGCAUAACAAAGUACCAUAGACGGGGAUCUGAACAGCCUGUUUCUCACGGCUGUGGGGCUGAGGAGUCCAGGAUGGCAGGGUGGGGUCUGAGGAGGACUAUCUCCCUGGUUUGUAGAUGGCCAGCUCCUAUCCUCACAGGGUAGAGGGAGAGGAUGCUGGCUCCUUCGUGCUGCCCGGAAGACAUGCAUCCCAUCAGGUGCACCCCGCCCUCAGGACUGAAUCCCCUCUCUGGGGUUCCCCUUUGGUCACCAUCACAUUGGGGAUCCGGGUUUCCGCAGGUGAACUUGGGAGGACACAGGCAUUCUGUGUGCCACCCAGAACAUGCUGGUUUUGCCCUGGGCCCGGGCAUGGCUCUGGUGGCAUCUUCAUACCCUGUAGAUCCACAUGCCAGGCACCACUCGGCCUUGUGACAGGUGGGAACGCCCUCCUUGCUCCAUCCCAAGGGUCAAAUCAGGACCCUAGAGCACACAACUGUUUCGUGUAGGACCUUAGCACCACCUGUCCUGGCCUUUCUCAGAGCCCUCCUCUUGCGGUGGCCACACCACAGGCUCCUGUGUUCCUGGGCCCUGUGGUUUCUGGGGAGAGACCAGGGAUGCCUGUUUGUGCAGUGCCUGCCCUUGCCUUGGUGGGUGCUCAGAGUGGGCUAGGACUUAGGAGAAAGUAGAUGAGGAGCAUGUGGGAGGAAGGGGUUGUGUGCAGAAGAGCCGGCUCAGCAGUGUCUUGAAGAAGGUCAUUAAAAUGUCUCCUGCCGCUUCGGAAUGCCUUGUGUCCUCUAGUUGUUCCUUGAAAGUAGGUAUUCUUAGGCUGUGAGUUUCUGAUGAAGAUCACAUUAAAGUGGACUGCAGUGGCUGGUCACAGCACAGAGAUGGAGCCUCAAAAGCUCAGACCUUGUUCUUUGAGUAGAGGCUGGCUUAGAGAGGCAUUGAUCGAUAAACAUGCCUGACUUCUCCUUUAGGAACUAAGAACUUCGUUCUCAACUCCCAGAGGCUCACGGAAAUGCCAGUGACCUCAGAGUUCAGUCCAAGCAUGGAACUAGAGGCUUAAUUUUUUAUGAGUUUUCUCUUUUGUACCUCAGAGAAAAGGCUGGGAUUGAACAGAGAGAACAUCCCCAACAGGGGAGGGCCUGCUGUCCAGGGUGCCACUGUGGCUCGCCAUGCUGGGGUCCCAUGGCUCUGAGGGGUUGGAGGCAGAGCCCGUCUUGAUGGAGCACCUCUACCUGCACGCCAGGGUGGGCAGCGCCACUUGUGGGAAGUAUCUGAAAAGUUUGGGGGCCUUUAGGCUGCACUCUGGGGCCGUCCACUUUGUGCCAGCCCUUCCUGAAACUCCAGGGCAUGGCUCCUAAUUGCCACUUCCUUGGGUCCUCAGGACUGGGCCACCUCUGCUGGACCUUCCCCUCCCCUUGAGAUGCCGGCACCUCAUGGACACACGUUGGCCUGCUCCUUACCCUCCGCCCCUCUGGCUCAGCCCGCUCUCCACAUGCCACACGAGUUUCCAGCCCUGUAUGGGAGCCCUUCCCGGUUUGUUCUUCCUCUUCUGACCUUGCCAGUUACCCCUGGCUGUCCCAACCGCAGGCCCACUGGGCUGGCCAUAGGCACACCAGCUGCCCGCUGGAAACAGCCCCGGCUCUGACAUCACCUGUCUCAGACUGUCUCACCACCCCUCCCUGAGGGCCCUUCCAGCCUCCUGUUCCCCCUCCAGUGUCAGGAGGCACCUGCUUGGUUGUUUGCUGAUGGCCUGUCUUCUGCCCGCCGCAGUUAUGGAAUCAUCACCUCGCAGCUCCGCAGUUCCUUCUCCGAGCACUACUUUGCAGGGCUGAGGACUGCAGCCCACACUUGUGCUUGGUGAGCAGGCACCCGCAUCAGGGCCUGCCCUGGGGGUGCUGGAGAGGGCCCUGGGACCAGUCUGCAGGUUGAGGGGGCAGCUCUUCAGCCACUGGUUUUGCUCCCUCCUGGCAGCCCACCAGCCUGCAGAUUCUAUAGCGCCCAGAGAUUACAGCUUCAUGGGCUGCUGCCCUGUUCUCAGAGGCCUGGGUCCAGGCCCUCCAGGGCCCUCAUGCAGACACCAGCACAGCCUCCCCUCAGCCAUCUCAGUUUCCUUUCCACCGGGCUCAUCUCUAAGCAUCUACGUUUUCAUGAUGUCAGCCUCUGCCCUGUGUUCCCACAGCCCAAGGGAUGGGAGCUGCUUCCUGAAGUCACUGCACCCUUGGUGUCUGAGGGUCCUCCUCUUCCUCAGUUACCUUGGUACCUGCACCCCCGUGAGAUUGUCUGCUCAUCCCACAUGUGUGGCUUCUUUGUCUGAGAUUCCCAUCCCAGUAGAAUGGAAGGAGGCCCAGUGAGACCAGGCUGGCUGUGGUGUUCGAUGCCGCUGUCUCUGGUGGCUGGAAUGGUGUGUGGCUGCCCUCAUCCACAACCCAUAUGCUGAACGGAGUGGGCAGACUCACCUGCCAGUGAGGUGUUGAGUGGCGAACGUCCUGGACCCGGCUCUUGGUGAGCAUUCUGCAGUGUCAUCUCCUUGUCACACCUUGGUGUUGGAGUUUUAUAGUCCACUUGUUGGUGCUGGAGUCUUAUGGUCCAGUUGUUGGUGCCGGAGUCUUACAGUCCAGUUAUUGGUGCCAGAGUCUUACAGCCCAGUUGUUGGUGUCAGAGUCUUACGGUCCAGUUCUUGGUGUUGGAGUUUUACAGUCUAGUUCUGUGGUUUAGAAGACUUGGGUGUUGGUUAACUAUGAGGCCUUGUGGAUGUGGCCCAGAUGAUGUGGGCCCAAGUGCCUACAGCUGGACGGUCCUGGAGUGGGUGUGUCUCUGCCACCCAUGCCAUCCCUCAGCUGGGAACGUGUGUUGCUCUGGUUCAUCUCUCCUGUGUCCCUUCAUGAUGUGGAUUUCACUGCCGGGGAGGAGAUGUUUGCUUCACAACCUGGCCAAUGAGUUUUUCUAGCCUGGGCUUAGCUCCACACCACUUAUGGCUCUGUCUUCCCUCUGGGUGCUGUGGAACACACGCUUCAGGACGUCCUGUAGCUGCUGCAUUUUCCCAGCCUCUUAGACCAGGCCUGUAAUGGAGUCCAGGUUCAGCUGCUUGCUGCUUGAAAGCCAGACACAAGAGGUGAGAGUGGUGUGGAGAAAAUCAGAUGAACUUGGAGAGCAAGCAGAUCAGAAAGAUGGUGACCUUCAGUCACAAAGACCAUCUGAAGUCAGUACACAUUUCAGGCUCUUCUUAUGCUAAGGGUAGGGGCAAGAGGAGGGUUUGAGACCAGGAGGUGACCGAUGACCACAAACAUCAGGGUGCCAGUGAGGGUCCGAGGAGGUUGGGAACUUCUCUGCCCUUGGCCAGGGCUCAGUGCUCCUACAAAUCUUUAACAAAGCCUAGUUAGCUGUUUAUACACUUGCCCUUUCAUCUCAACCUUAGUUUGGAAAACUACUUGAUUGCUGUUUUUGCAUUAUGACCUCAGUAUUCGAAAAGCUAGGAGUGGGUAAAGACCCCUUAAGCAAUAGUGGAGGGAUGUGCUAAUUCUGCUGAGUUGCUGUUGCAGGCUGGGGGCCGAGCUUGGGGCACCUCAGUGCCUGCUGCCUGCUUCACGGAGGUGGCCUAGGUGGCAGAGAGCGGGUUGGAAGCCACUCAGUUCACAUCCGGUUCCCGGAGGCUGGUCUUGGCACAUGGCUGUAUUUUGCCGAGCCCUGGUCCUCAAGCUCCGGAAGCCUGGGCUCUGAAGCAGGACAGCUGCUGUCCUGUGGCCAUGUGUGACUCACAUCUGCUCUCAAUGGGGAGGACUCCAGCCCCACAUGUGCCUCCACACAGAUGUGAGCGCACCCUCACUCAAGAUGCAGGGUGUGAGUUUCUUGGGCUCCCUUCAAGGCUGCCCAUCAUCCUGUGCUGAGGGCGCUUCCCAGUGUAGCCCCUCACCCCUCUGCCUUGCCAGACACCUGUGCUGUGCCCAUCACCUGAAAGAUGGCUCAUUCUUGCCUUUGCACACCCUGGCUUUAAAGCAGAGGGCAGGAAACGGUGGUAUUCUUCUAAUUAAAUGACCACACAGAGCUGUGAUUUAAAGCACUCGUGAACUUUUGCACCUCAAUUCAGUGAUUCAAGAGGAGAUUUUAUAGCCCUUGACUAUUGAAUUGGCCCAUGAAUAGUUUAAAAUGGAACUGGAGCUAAAAAUAGCCUCAUAAUAUAUGCUUCCUGUGAGCUCUGUGCCCGUUUUUAAUUGUAUUUUGCAUUUUUGGUUAUGGAGUGCCUGGAGGGGCAGUGGGCCCUGGCCAGUGCUGCACCCGGAGUCAGUGUCUGCAUGGCUGUCCAUGGCGGCUGAUACGAUAGGAAAGACUCAGAAUGGUUUCCUCUGACCAGAGAAGACUGACUGGCCGUGGGGCAUUUCCCCACCCACCAAGCAAGUAGUCCGUUCUGCCUGGGACACCAGCCAGGUGUCCCCUCACUCAGUUCCGUUCUGAUACUGUCUACCUGGAGGUGGCGUCAGACCCCUGAGGCGAGGGCUCCGUCCCCAGCUCUGGUGCCAGUUGCAAGCCACAGGUGUGCCUUUGACUGGCUGGCUGUAAAUUGGGGUUCCUACCACCCAGUUGAGAUUCCCCCUGGGUUUGAUUAGUCUGCUAGUGUCUCAUAGAACUCAAGGAAACUUGUGUUUACCAGUUUAUAUGUAUAAAUAACCCAGGUUGCUGCAAAGGACACAGCUGAAUAGAUGAGCAUGGCGAGGAGUAGGGGAAGGACGUGGAGCUUCCACAUCCUCCCCGGGCCACCACUCUCCCGGAACACCAGAAGCUCUCCCCGCUCAGUCCUUUUGAGUUUUUAUAGAGGUCUUGUUAUGUGGGCAUAGUUGACUACUGCUGGUCGUCGGUGAGCUACUCAGCCUUCAGCUGCUCUCCUUCCCCGAGCUUGGAGGUGGGGCUGAAGUCCCCAGCCUCUAGUCCAGCCUUGGUCUUCCUGGUGACCAGCCCUGUCCUGCAGCUGCCCAGGGGCUACAGCCACAGUUGGUCACUGGCAAAUGGAAGACCUCACUCGGGAGAGUCCAAGGAUUUUAGUUGUGUUCCAGGAUAUGGCUUGAAGAUGAGAUACGUAUUUUACAAGAUCACACGAGGCUGAAAUGAAACGCACGUGCCCUGAACACCAGUGCAUUGGCCCCGCGUCUGUGGGCUUGUGUGACUUUUGCUGGGGCUGGCCGAGGGUGGCUAGGCAGGGGGUUCCCACCACGCUUGGCUAGAUCAGAACCGCCACCGAGUCCUUUCCGACAUUCUGUGAGUGUUGGAUUCACAUUCACUUUCAACUUACCCUUUAUUAAAAGAUUCAUACUAAGUUACAGUUGAAAACCCUGUAUUGACUUCACUCAGAUAUGAAGUAGAAAACAUGAGUCCAGUGGAGACCUCCAUCAAAGAAAAUGUUAUCUGCCAGCCCUGAGAAUUAAGCUUUUCCUCAAGUCAUGCAACUGAAGCAACGUAGAAACAGUUGGAUGCCCAGGAAGGUUGAAGCCUGAGGCUGAUAUUCAUGGCCCCAUCCCACAUUUCUGUUUUUACAGACAGCCUCCUGGCUGUCCCUGAGGGUCACCUCACAGGACUGUUGUCGGUGUUACCUUUUCUCUCAUCCCAGUGCUGUGUUUUAUUUCUUUAAUAUUUAGUGAAGAUUUCCUUUGGAAAGAGACUUGUAAUGCUUAAUACAGUCGUGUGCAGCUCCUGUUUUCCAGUGUUGUCCCAUGCCUCGCCUGCCCAGGGCUGUCUGGUUGGGGCUGGGCCCUCUGCUGACUCGCCCCCUCCCCAGGGUGGUCUCUCCUCUCUCCUGGCUGCGUCCCUUCCUUGGAAUCCCCUUUUGUCUGGCCGUCCCAUCCGGGAGGUAGCAUCCUGACUCACCCUCUCCCUGGGGCAGCCUUUCCUCUUUGCGCCUUUCUGUGCCCUUCCUAGGAGUGCCUUCCUGUGGGGAGGUGGAGUCCUGGGGCUCCUAGAAUCACAGAAAGCCAUUGCAUCAUGGGUGGGUUCUUGGAGUCAGGGUCAGUGGAUGCUGUUAUUUUCCUGGCUACCAAGUUGGCUUCUGAAGGACAGAGAGAGAGAGGCAAGAUCCAAACCCCUGAGGCCCUUUACUACCAGGCCAUGAACUUGGAGGUUCACCAAGAGUGGUUUGGAGCCACCAAAGCCUUCAAAAUCGCAUGACCCAGCCCCUCUGCUGUCUGAAGAGACAGGUUGGUGCCCCGUGGCCGAGGGGCUGAAUGAGAGCCGUUGAGAAGCUGUUGUGGUAACAGGUGACAGGCGACCAGCACAGUGACUGCGGCAGCAGCUGUGGGGAACAUGCAGGGAAAAGGAAGGUUUAAAAAGCAGAAUUGAAAGGAACCAUCAGAUACCUGAAAGGGUGGACAGGGAGAGCCUCUUGGGCAGCCUGGCGUUGACCCUGCCCAUGGCGUCGGUCCCCAGGAGGCCUCUCAGGUUUCCAGUGCUCCGAGCCAGGCUGAGCUUUCAACCCUGCAGAAUGUUUUUAGAACAGGCCCCCCUCCCAGGCGCCCGGCAUUUGCGUCCCUGCACCACACCGCACAUCUGCGGUGAUUCAGAGGGAAGCGCUGGCUCUGCAAUCUCGCUCAUUCAGAAGCCCCGUCUCCCGAAGGGCUGCAUCGCCCACAAUUUUUCCCAUUGUGUGUGGAGUUGAGCUCCCCUCCCCCUCCCUGCCGUGUUCUGGGAUCACCCUGGGAGUCUAUUUGAAAUCCAGAAACUCCUGAAAGGCCUUAAGUAGCUAUUCAGCAGUGCGGAAAUGGCAGUGAGGAGGUUGCACGUGCAGCUCUAUUUUAGGACAUCCUGGUGGGCUCGUUCCUUGGCUGGGGCAGGUUGGGGUAGUCACCCUGGUCUUCAUUGCUCUGCCCUCUUGUCUCUCCC
Molecule: long non-coding RNA, 15758 nt
Organism: Sapajus apella (tufted capuchin)
Lineage: Eukaryota; Metazoa; Chordata; Mammalia; Primates; Cebidae
Exons: 3
Source: RefSeq, a predicted model, not a curated record